UCACCAACCUGACAGCUGUCCUCGGGGUUUCCAUCCGGAUGACUCAUCCCUCAUCAAACGGUGGCCUGUCGGAAAAUCAACACUCUCCCAUUCACACAUUCACUCCCUCUGCCAUUAAUGCAAACCUUUUCAAUAGGCAUGCAAGAAGAAACAUGCAGAGCCAAAAAGACAUAUAUACAGGGUUUCCUUUUACUGUACUCUAUUAGGGAUGCCUUUAUGCAUGGUGCACUGAUGAGGAGGGAAGCCCCUGGCAGAUACAUUUAACUGUUUAUAUGUGUGUGUAUCUUGGUGUAUCAGGAAAAUGAUCACGUGCUCUAUGUGAUGAGUCAUACACAGGCUGGAUUGCAAGGGAGCGGCUGGCUGACUGGUUAGAAGCAGUAAGGCAGGAAACUCAUCAGCUAUGCACCGCUGAGCCCAAGACUCUGAUGCACAAGUAAUUUGGAUCACAACACUGGUGGAGGAGACGCCCUUCCCUUUGUGUCCACAACGCAGAAGGCAAGCACAUGAAGAGCUGCCAGAAGAGAGACUUUGAUGAAACAGCUGUAGGCAGUGGCUGAAGAACGAUGCAACAAUGCAAAAGAUGAUGGGUAUGAGUCAUAGCCUUGUGGUAUAGAGUAUCAGUGAUCUGAGUGUCCCCCGAUGAAGAGGAAACGUGAAGAGGCAGACACGGAAACAGACUGUGACAAUGCAGCUUGGUAUCCAUGACAACCAGGCUCUGCUAGUGUGCCCAGGAACAUAACGUUUUGCUCUAAUGGGGCAAACUGGAUCAUUUUGUCCAUUUACCUGUGUACCGAGCAGUAUUUUUCCCAUCUUCGUGUUUUUUAUCAGUCGUGCACACAGUGAAAUUCAGAAAUGAGAAAGGUUUGGGGGGGAGAGGAGGCGAGGUUAUGACUGCAGCUUGUGUAUUUACUUUGUGCAGUGCUGAGAGGGUAAAUUGCUUCUUUGUGCUCUGAUGUGAGACUCGCUAGACAAAUGUGGAAAAGAUUGCCUUCUCUAACUUACUGAUUUGCACUGCAGUGGUAAAGUCAAGGUGACCGCACCCCCACAACCCCCAUAUUACUUCUGCCACUCACCCACACAUGUGCACAAUAUUAAAAAAAUCGGUGUAUUCAACUAAAACUGGCAUCUGACUUCACUAGUCUCCAGGUGUAAUUUAACAUGAUGAACCAAAGAGAAGUAUAGGAUGGACAUGAAUGCAAAUCUCUUAUGAUUCAUAAAAUCUCUACAGCUUCAAGGCAGCUAUCAGCUCAGUGUUGGCAGUUAAUCUAUUAAGCUCUGAAAGCACCAGAGUAUCAGUGCUGUUAGAAAUUUGGGACAGCAUGCACUCAUCUGUAUGACUGGCACUGGGCACACACAGUAUACAUGCAGAUGGCUUCUUACCAGAGACCAAGCACCCUCUUUUAUCUUCAAUUUCUCUCAAACAUCCUUCAAAUAUUAUCUAUGCAACUGCUGUGUAAAAAUGAUGUUGAUGCAUCACUAGCUGUCAUUUACAUGAAGCGGCCUUAAAUAGCUGUUAAAUAACUAAUCAAGCUCCCCCUACUAAAAUUUGAAGUGCAAACCCUAAUUGCAUUCUACUAUUAGUUAUUUAAAAUGACUGACAGUUUACUUAAGACGAACAGACUCACCCUAGGGUGCGCAUUAAUCAAACUUGAUUGAUGUUUACUGCUACUAUUAAAGGUUGUUUACAUCACUAAUAUGUAGUACGGAUCAUCAAAUGAAUCUUUUUUGUCAUCUUAUUAAUUCUUUAAUUACAGUUGAAUGAAACGUGUUUUCUUUUGCCUGAGCCACAAACAUAUGGUUCUUUUAGACAAAGGAGAACAUUAACUUUACAAAUGAUAACCUUUAUUUUGAGAAGUUCUACUUCUGUGAACACUGCAACCGUUGCAUGCUGUCUUUUGCAAAUCUGGAGAAGCUUUUGCCAGAUGUAAGAACAUAAAUCUACAGAUGUAAUCUUGAUGACUUCUGAGUAAUCCAGCCCUUCAUUAAAAGCUGAUGGUUGUUGAGUUUGUUUAUUAAAGAAUUAACAAAAACUAAGCUAGACUCAUGCACCAUGCCUGGGACCAGAAGUUAAGAAAAUUAGUGAAGGUUUUUAUUCUGUUCCAUGA
Melanotaenia boesemani (Boeseman's rainbowfish) is the source of this 2105-nucleotide long non-coding RNA. RefSeq lists it as uncharacterized. The record is from RefSeq and is a predicted model, not a curated record. NCBI's taxonomy places the organism in Eukaryota, Metazoa, Chordata, Actinopteri, Atheriniformes, Melanotaeniidae. The transcript is spliced from 4 exons.